RNAcentral lists this ribosomal RNA (460 nucleotides) under uncultured bacterium. Its description in RNAcentral is "partial 16S ribosomal RNA". It matches the Rfam family "Bacterial small subunit ribosomal RNA", at positions 338 to 795 of the family's 1533-position model. The record is from RNAcentral.
CCUACGGGAGGCAGCAGUGAGGAAUAUUGGUCAAUGGACGAGAGUCUGAACCAGCCAAGUAGCGUGAAGGAUGACUGCCCUAUGGGUUGUAAACUUCUUUUAUAUGGGAAUAAAAUGUUCCACGUGUGGGAUUUUGUAUGUACCAUAUGAAUAAGGAUCGGCUAACUCCGUGCCAGCAGCCGCGGUAAGACGGAGGAUCCGAGCGUUAUCCGGAUUUAUUGGGUUUAAAGGGAGCGUAGGUGGAUUGUUAAGUCAGUUGUGAAAGUUUGCGGCUCAACCGUAAAAUUGCAGUUGAAACUGGCAGUCUUGAGUACAGUAGAGGUGGGCGGAAUUCGGGGUGUAGCGGUGAAAUGAUUAGAUAUCACGAAGAACUCCGAUUGCGAAGGCAGUUCACUGGACUGCAACUGACACUGAGGCUCGAAAGUGUGGGUAUCAAACAGGAUUAGAUACCCGGGUAGUC